Long non-coding RNA from Ananas comosus (pineapple), 386 nucleotides. RefSeq lists it as uncharacterized. The record is from RefSeq and is a predicted model, not a curated record. The transcript is spliced from 2 exons. NCBI's taxonomy places the organism in Eukaryota, Viridiplantae, Streptophyta, Magnoliopsida, Poales, Bromeliaceae.
AUUCUACGGCAUGCAUGUAUAGCUUUGCACCUGUAAGCUAUUACUUGGCAGAGUAACUGAAAAGGUAAUUGAUUUUGGUAAAUGACUCGUCUCUUGAUGUGAGAUUUUGAGCUUGGAUUUCCAUUAUAGGGUUCGCGUUGAGAGGAGAUCACAUCUACCUCAUCAAUUUGUAUGAGAUUUAUAAGAGGUGUGACGAGAAAUAUUUUGGCAACGUAUUGAAUCAAGUUUAAGAAUUUAGACAUUUUUUUGAUAAAUUUACAUUUGAUAGCAUGUGGAAAUGACAAAAAUACUAUUAUUGUGUUUUGUUUUUUGGAUGUGUUGGGUGAUUGUAUUACUUAUAUAUGAUGAUUCAGUCUUACUUAUAUAUGAUGUCCCAAACUUCUUUC